Molecule: transfer RNA, 76 nt
Filed under: Cordylochernes scorpioides
Lineage: Eukaryota; Metazoa; Arthropoda; Arachnida; Pseudoscorpiones; Chernetidae
Description: tRNA-Lys
Source: RNAcentral
GCUCCUUUAGUCUAGUGGACAUGGCAUCUGCCCUUUAGGCGGAACACUGUGGGUUCGAUUCCCAUCCCUGGACACU